GACGAACGCUGGCGGCGUGCUUAACACAUGCAAGUCGAACGGAAAGGCCCUGCUUUUGUGGGGUGCUCGAGUGGCGAACGGGUGAGUAACACGUGAGUAACCUGCCCUUGACUUUGGGAUAACUUCAGGAAACUGGGGCUAAUACCGGAUAGGAGCUCCUGCUGCAUGGUGGGGGUUGGAAAGUUUCGGCGGUUGGGGAUGGACUCGCGGCUUAUCAGCUUGUUGGUGGGGUAGUGGCUUACCAAGGCUUUGACGGGUAGCCGGCCUGAGAGGGUGACCGGCAACAUUGGGCCUGAGAUACGGCCCAGACUCCUACGGGAGGCAGCAGGGGGGAAUAUUGCACAAUGGGCGGAAGCCUAAUGCAGCAACGCCGCGUGCGGGAUGACGGCCUUCGGGUUGUAAACCGCUUUCGCCUGUGACGAAGCGUGAGUGACGGUAAUGGGUAAAGAAGCACCGGCUAACUACGUG
RNAcentral lists this ribosomal RNA (468 nucleotides) under uncultured bacterium. RNAcentral describes it as "partial 16S ribosomal RNA". It matches the Rfam family "Bacterial small subunit ribosomal RNA", at positions 28 to 507 of the family's 1533-position model. The record is from RNAcentral.